RNAcentral lists this long non-coding RNA (636 nucleotides) under Homo sapiens (human). Its description in RNAcentral is "long intergenic non-protein coding RNA 1198". Lineage: Eukaryota; Metazoa; Chordata; Mammalia; Primates; Hominidae. The record is from RNAcentral.
GGGAGGUUGCAUUUAUUGUGACACGGGGAAUGGAACAGAUAAGAAGAUACUGAAAUUGGACGGUGCUGCCGUGCGGCUGCCGCAGGACACCUUUAAUAUCCCUGUUUCUCAGGCUGUAGAUGAAGGGGUUCAGCAUGGAGGUGAUCACCGUGUACAUCACUGAGGCCACUGCAGCCUUUCUCGGGGAAGAUGACACAUCUGAACUGAGGUACCCUCCAAAGCCUGUUCCGUAAAAUCAGCAAACAACUGACAGGAUAACUUCAGGAAGUGGGUAUUAAUUCUCACGGUAUAAGUGAAGACAUUAAGCACCAGAGUUUAAGUAGCUUGAUCCACUGAAAGAGAUUCAACUGUGUGGAACCUAUGCCGUGGAGAAUUGCUUUCUGCCAUUGUUAUCGUCCAGCAGUUGCCGAAUAGCUCUGACCUGAGCAAAGCAGUGAAACGCGGUGCUGUUGAGUGGGUUGCCACUGCACCUUUUUCAACUACUCUAGUCUUGUGGAGAAAAUACCCCUUCUAAAUUUUUUCUUCAUUGAAUACUCUCCCUCAGCUCCAGAGUACCAUAUAGAGUUUUCUUGUAUUUUAGAGUUACUGUUUUAUCAAAGUUUACCAGUCUUUUGUAUUACAUUUCUCCUGUCUAAA